This 1384-nucleotide ribosomal RNA is filed under the name uncultured bacterium. RNAcentral's name for it is "bacterial SSU rRNA". It matches the Rfam family "Bacterial small subunit ribosomal RNA". The record is from RNAcentral.
AAGAGUUUGAUCCUGGCUCAGGACGAACGCUGGCGGCGUGCCUAACACAUGCAAGUCGAACGGAGAAUUUCAAAGAGUUUACUCGGAGAAAUUUUUAGUGGCGGCGUGGGUAACCUACCCAUAAACCCGGGACAACCCUUGGAAACGAGGGCUAAUACCGGAUAAUCUUAAGGCUUGGCAUCAAGCUUUAAGAAAAGGUGGCCUCUGAAGAUGCUACCGAUUAUGGAUGGACCCGCGUCUGAUUAGCUAGUUGGUGGGGUAAAGGCCUACCAAGGCGACGAUCAGUAGCCGGCCUGAGAGGGUGAACGGCCACACUGGAACUGAGACACGGUCCAGACUCCUACGGGAGGCAGCAGUGGGGAAUUUUGGACAAUGGGCGCAAGCCUGAUCCAGCAAUGCCGCGUGCAGGAUCCUGUGAUAUUGGACGAACAAUUUCCCGUAAAUAAUGGGAAGGAAUGACGGUACAAUAAGAGGAAGCCCCGGCUAACUACGUGCCAGCAGCCGCGGUAAUACGUAGGGGGCGAGCGUUGUCCGGAGUUACUGGGCGUAAAGAGCGUGUAGGCGGUUGGAAAAGUCAGGUGUGAAAUUCUUCGGCUCAACCGGGGGACUGCGCCUGAAACUUUCCGACUGGAGUUUGGGAGGGGCAACUGGAAUUCCUGGUGUAACGGUGAAAUGUGUAGAUAUCAGGAGGAACACCCGUGGCGAAGGCGGGUUGCUGGACCAAAACUGACGCUGAGACGCGAAAGCGUGGGUAGCAAACAGGAUUAGAUACCCUGGUAGUCCACGCUGUAAACGAUGAGUGCUAGGUGUAGGGGGUAUCGACUCCCUCUGUGCCGCAGUUAACGCAUUAAGCACUCCGCCUGGGGAGUACGGCCGCAAGGCUGAAACUCAAAGGAAUUGACGGGGGCCCGCACAAGCAGCGGAGCAUGUGGUUUAAUUCGAAGCAACGCGAAGAACCUUACCAGGUCUUGACAUCCAGUAAAAACUGUAGAGAUACAGUGUGCCUUCGGGCGUACUGAGACAGGUGGUGCAUGGUUGUCGUCAGCUCGUGUCGUGAGAUGUUGGGUUAAGUCCCGCAACGAGCGCAACCCUUAUUGUUAGUUGCCAUCAUUAAGUUGGGCACUCUAGCGAGACUGCCGGUGAUAAACCGGAGGAAGGUGGGGAUGACGUCAAAUCAUCAUGCCCCUUAUGUCCUGGGCUACACACGUGCUACAAUGGCCUGAACAGAGGGAAGCGAAACUGCGAAGUUAAGCGAACCCCUUAAAACAGGUCCCAGUUCGGAUUGUAGGCUGCAACUCGCCUACAUGAAGUUGGAAUCGCUAGUAAUCGCAGGUCAGCAUACUGCGGUGAAUACGUUCCCGGGCCUUGUACACACCGCCCGUCA